UUAUAAGGCUGUACCACCCUGAGUGCUCCUGAUCUCAUCUGAUCUCAGAAGCUAAGCAGGGUCGGGUCUGGUUAGUUUUUGGAUGGGAGAAUCAAAUAUAUUUUGAU
This is a ribosomal RNA of Loxodonta africana (African savanna elephant), 107 nucleotides long. The record is from Ensembl. NCBI's taxonomy places the organism in Eukaryota, Metazoa, Chordata, Mammalia, Proboscidea, Elephantidae.